RNAcentral lists this ribosomal RNA (2279 nucleotides) under Triticum aestivum (bread wheat). Its description in RNAcentral is "partial small subunit ribosomal RNA". The record is from RNAcentral. Lineage: Eukaryota; Viridiplantae; Streptophyta; Magnoliopsida; Poales; Poaceae.
CGCAGGGAUUGGGGUUGUGCCGCUCGUCUACCACAGAUAACACCUCCCCAGGUUAUCUUUGCCACGAAGGCAGCACGCGACCUCCCUCUCUCUCGUUUCCUCUCCCGCAUAUCCCUCCGCCUCCGCCGCCAGGAGCGUCUCCACACCAACGUCGUCGUCUCGAGGCGGGAGUGGGUGGGAGGAGAAGACGGCGGCGGCGCACACGGAGAAAAGAGGAAGAGCGCCGGCCUUGGUCCACGCGACGACGGCCGUGAACUGCGCCUCCACCAGUGUAUGCGCGACGGUGCGCGCUCUCUUCUAGGUCGCCCCUCCACUCUUUCUGCCCCUCCUUUUCAUCUCUCACACGCAGGCCCCUCUCUCGUUUGGCUUCACAUUCCCUGCUAGGGUUGCUGCCGCCAUCGCUCCUCCGGCGCUGGCCAUGCUCCCUCGUAGCAAAGUGCGGCGCUGCUUCUCCACACAGCCGUGUCGGCAAGGCGGCGGCAAGACCGAGAAGGUGGGCGGCGAUGCGAGCUCUCGUCCCGUGGAAGCCAUGGGAGGACGAGGUCGAUGCGGUCGUCGGCGCGUCCUCCGCUGCGGGAGGCCAUGAGCGAAACGAAGGAGGCGUCGUCAGCUGCGUGCCCGACCUCGCCACGGACGCCAGCGAGGCCAACCUCCCCUUCACCUCUGACCGGCAGGUUGCUGCCAUGGAACCAUGUUGACCUGAGCUAUGUGCCACCAUGGUAUCCUGCUCUUUUGUUUGUUUGAUCCAAUUGGUAUCGGUUCGAGUGUGUGAUGGAAUGGAGAUGAAAGAUCGUGACGACACUGACGGUGUACCGCGUCCACAGGUCAGUGGUGCCGCCUCUGGUUUCUUCCCCAUCAAUCCCAGACAUCGCUUGUACGCUUGCAUAAGUAGUUUGCCGCUCUCAAUUCUCACUCUAACUCUCUUGUCAUUCUUCUCUCUGUUUUCCUAUGAGGUGAGGAGAUUAGGCACAGGCUUGUUGUUGCUUUGCUGUACCAAAUUGGAACCAAUGAUGAAAAGAGAAGCAUGUUUUCUGUCGGAUAUUCAAAAUGGAUCCCAGCAGCAUAUGGUCCUUCAUGUAAAAGAUAAUUUUGUGAAUGCCAAGAAGUAAAAAAACAUUUGUAUGUUUGUGUCCUUUGGGACCCGUACAGACAAAUGGGAAGCUGCACCCAUUACCACAUAAAUGUAAAUUUUACAUGCCGGUCGAUUUGGGAAUCAGUUGUCCCAAUAAGAUGUGCUUAUACUCAUGUAGUUUACACUGAAUAAGAAGCUUCAGGUCACAUUGCUAUCUACAGUAUGUGCAACUUGGCUUCAGAUGUAUUUCAUUUUGAGAUUUCCACUAUAAAGAUUGCAUGCUAUAAACAUACAUGAUUCCCUGCCCUAAUGUUUGAAAAUUCUCCGGUUUGGACCAACUAAUUGAUGGGAAUUACAAUUCUCAACACAUCUAGAAAUAGAGGAGGCAAUAAUAAUUCUUCAGUGUUGUUGCCCCACAGUCACUCGUUUGACACUUUAUUGGAUAACAAAUACCAUGUUCUCUCUUAGAGCCACGUUUGCCCACUUAAUUUUUAGGACUGUUAGUACUUCAUUUGUGAUAGGCAUAUACAUUCUGGGACUCAAUGGGCACUUUGUGAACAGUUCAUUGGUUUGUGAAUUUGUGAUAGGCAUAUAAAUUCAGUGUAGAGAAUCAGCCAAAUGAAUUCAGUGUGCAAAAUCUGUUAACAUGAUGAUAUUUUUUUGAAAUGACGACUGAAUUUCUCAGCACUGCUGUGGUAGUAGAAACCGCGUAUAAAGAUGAUUUCUGAAGUGCUGAUGAUUUAUACGCGUAUAAACCGCGUAUAAAGAUGUUUUCUCAGCACAGCCGCAUCGAAAGUUGGCCAGCAAUGUUGAUUUCUGAAGUCAAUCAACUCCAUUCUCCUCAUGUCUCCACCUAACAAGGCAAGGAAGGAAGAAAGAAAGAAGACUCCGAUUUUGUUUCAUGGGGAGAAUUGACUUAAGAUAUCAGUAUUAGCUUUGUUAAGAUCAGGAUAAUUUUCUCUUGUCAAUUUCUCUUAUUUUUCAUUCUCUUGUCAAUAUAUCUGUAGUGGUUAAUACCGUCAAAUGGCCCUCACUAUACCUGAAGUUUGAGCUAUCGUACUAGAUAAGUAGAUUAUUCUUGUUGUUUUUUGCAUGAAAAAUUAGCACUUGAGAUUCACAUUUACGCUGUUUCUGGAAUUAGGGGGAACCGGGGAAGUCCUUGCAUUGAAUAAGAAUAUUGUCUUAAACAUACACCUGCCAUAAAUAC